This 421-nucleotide ribosomal RNA is filed under the name uncultured bacterium. RNAcentral describes it as "bacterial SSU rRNA". It matches the Rfam family "Bacterial small subunit ribosomal RNA", at positions 355 to 774 of the family's 1533-position model. The record is from RNAcentral.
UAAGGAAUAUUGGUCAAUGGACGCAAGUCUGAACCAGCCAUGCCGCGUGAAGGAUGAAGGUCCUCUGGAUUGUAAACUUCUUUUAUCUGGGACGAAAACGGGAUUUUUAUCUCAAUUGACGGUACCAGAGGAAUAAGCACCGGCUAACUCCGUGCCAGCAGCCGCGGUAAUACGGAGGGUGCGAGCGUUACUCGGAAUUACUGGGCGUAAAGCGUGCGUAGGUGGUUGUUUAAGUCUGAUGUGAAAGCCCUGGGCUCAACCUGGGAAUGGCAUUGGAAACUGGGCAGCUAGAGUGCGGUAGAGGGUAGUGGAAUUCCUGGUGUAGCAGUGAAAUGCGUAGAGAUCGGGAGGAACAUCUGUGGCGAAGGCGACUGCCUGGACCAGCACUGACACUGAGGCACGAAAGCGUGGGGAGCAAACA